CCUCCUCCCGCGAAACGGCUCUGCUGCCGGCCGGGCGGCGGCGGCGGCGGCGGGGGCAGCAGUGGCGGUGGAGGAG
This is a microRNA precursor of Mustela putorius furo (domestic ferret), 76 nucleotides long. The record is from Ensembl. NCBI's taxonomy places the organism in Eukaryota, Metazoa, Chordata, Mammalia, Carnivora, Mustelidae.